GAAAGCUGUGGUAAAACCAAACAAACACAUAUGACCAUAUAUAUACCCGGUUAGGUUAGAAAGAAACAACGAAGAGAGAACACGGUCUCCAGACUCCAGAGUGAGCGAGCGUGGCAGAGUGUGAGUCAAACAAAGGCUUUUGCAUUGCACCGCAGGCUGGCAGUGUGGUGCGCGCCACGCCCAGGCGUCAGAGGUGAGGGAUCAGGAAUGGCCCUGCCCUGAAGUCUGAAGAUGCUGCUGCAAGGCUCCUGCCUCCAUGGCCCAUGCUGAACCUGGCAACCUAUUCUCUUUUCUUUUCACACACACGAACAUACAGAAGAAAAGAGAGGGAAAAAUCUGUUAGGAAACAUACAGUGGAGUUGAGGCAUUCAUCCAUCUCAAGGCAAACCAAACGAACCAACUGCAGCUUGGAGCUAUCUGGAUAUCUUGCUUUUUGUUCGCAGCUAUAUGAUAACCAGUGGUUGCUUCAAACAUGCAAAUGUUGUCUUCACUGGUGAUUUAAAACAGUGAGAUGAGGUUGCAGCUCCGCGUGUUUUCUUCAGUACUGUUCCAAGCAGCAAAACUUACAGUGGAGGUAUACUGAAAAAUUAAAGUUAACGAUGA
This is a long non-coding RNA of Brachypodium distachyon (stiff brome), 603 nucleotides long. RefSeq lists it as uncharacterized. Lineage: Eukaryota; Viridiplantae; Streptophyta; Magnoliopsida; Poales; Poaceae. The transcript is spliced from 2 exons. The record is from RefSeq and is a predicted model, not a curated record.